Molecule: long non-coding RNA, 610 nt
Organism: Quercus robur (English oak)
Lineage: Eukaryota; Viridiplantae; Streptophyta; Magnoliopsida; Fagales; Fagaceae
Exons: 3
Source: RefSeq, a predicted model, not a curated record
UCCUUUCCUACUUAUUCCCUUUUCCUACUUACUCCAAACUUUCACUCUCUCCAAAUUUUUGCCGUCGUCAACUCUCUCCAAAUUGCACUAGCGACCCUUCGCCUUCCUUCACACCGACGACCCUUCGCCUCCCAUUUGCACCGGUGACCCUUCGCUUCCCUUCACUGUUCCUGCAUCAACCUCAGCACCACCGACCUCGAUGACAGUGACGCUGCCGACGAGUCCCACGAUCUCCCUCUCAUCAAGUUCUUAGUUUUGGAUGAAGCAAAUAGAGUUCUGGAUGUUGGAUUGAAGAGGAAUUGAGGGUGGUCUUUAAGUGUUUGCCAAAAAAUCGGCAAGAGACAGGCAUUUGGUCUACCAUCGUAGUUGUCUCCACCUGCAGGACCGAAGAGCUAGACGCUUACAGUGUGAUGGUACAAGGGAUAUGUCAAUGGAGAAGCAUGUCUUAUAACUGGAACUUCUUAGGAUUAAACUAUUUGAGCAACUAUUCAAUUAGUAACUAGACAAUGUUAUAUGUAAAUUGAUAAUAUAUUUUGAUGUUAAUAUUACGUUAGUUUGGAGACAUUUGUGGUGUUGUUAAUUAGUUACAUUUGUGGUAUUGUGUUAAUUA